UUGUUUUGACUUUUCAACUGCUUUGAGU
This 28-nucleotide non-coding RNA is filed under the name Rattus norvegicus (Norway rat). Lineage: Eukaryota; Metazoa; Chordata; Mammalia; Rodentia; Muridae. The record is from RNAcentral.